This 468-nucleotide ribosomal RNA is filed under the name uncultured bacterium. Its description in RNAcentral is "partial 16S ribosomal RNA". It matches the Rfam family "Bacterial small subunit ribosomal RNA", at positions 28 to 507 of the family's 1533-position model. The record is from RNAcentral.
GACGAACGCUGGCGGCGCGCCUAACACAUGCAAGUCGAACGGAGCUGCGAGAAGCUUGCUUUUCUUAGCUUAGUGGCGAACGGGUGAGUAACGCGUGAGUAACCUGCCCUGGAGUGGGGGACAACAGUUGGAAACGACUGCUAAUACCGCAUAAGCCCACGAUCCGGCAUCGGAUUGAGGGAAAAGGAUUUAUUCGCUUCAGGAUGGACUCGCGUCCAAUUAGCUAGUUGGUGAGGUAACGGCCCACCAAGGCGACGAUUGGUAGCCGGACUGAGAGGUUGAACGGCCACAUUGGGACUGAGACACGGCCCAGACUCCUACGGGAGGCAGCAGUGGGGGAUAUUGCACAAUGGGGGAAACCCUGAUGCAGCGACGCCGCGUGGAGGAAGAAGGUUUUCGGAUUGUAAACUCCUGUCGUUAGUGACGAUAAUGACGGUACCUAACAAGAAAGCACCGGCUAACUACGUG